AAUAUCCUGGAAAAAAAUCAUGCUAGCCUAAUCGCCCUGUCCUCGUCUCUCCUGCAACUGUUGUAUCGCCCUCUCUGUCCUUAUCCCGGGGUUUCCUACUUUUUCCGCAACUGUCGUUGAAGUCAACUCGAAGUUUGGCUCUGGCUCCUGCGCACCCUUAAGACAGAAGAAAAAAAUUUCACCAGAUACUGCAAGAAAUAAUGCACAAGAAACAGGAAUGUUGCCUUGUAAUACGUGUGUGCACGCAGUAAAACUAUAAUAGUAGUAUUAGCAGUGCGACAUAUUUUAUUAUAUUUCACAUCAAGAAGAGGAGCAUAUAACAUCAUCAAUAAAAGAUCUUUGAUUGAUAUAAGCAGCGACAGUCAUUCCAAUAAGAAAAAACGAAGGGAUGAAUUGCUUGUUUUAUGAAGCAAAUAAUUUGCUGACGAAGCAACAGUAUUUUGGUGCUCUCCAAAAAUAGGAGUUGCCGCUGUGAAAUUCUAGUAUUUUAUCUGAGUGAAGGAUAUCUGGUAGUAAUUAUUAAAAUACCACAAGAAGAAUCGUGCAAGUAUUACAGGAAAUACGAUAAAGUUUGACAGCUAUAUUGAAAUUUGCCAGUUAAAAUAUACUACGAUCUGACAGAGUGUACAACGGAAGGAAUUAAGUGAGCUAUAAUUGAAGUGUAAGAUGAUGAUGAGCGGUGUGCGUAACAAAUUUGCUGGUAUUUGUAUUAAUUUAUGAAUUGAAUGAAUAAAUGUUUGUAAUUAAUAAAUUAAUAUCAUAUGAAAUAUAUACAUUCACUUUCUUUACCUGCUCUCCUUUUAUUUUCCUCUCUUCAAUUAAAAAAAUAAGAAGUCUGUGUAUUUGUCGCAGGGAAAUGAUAAAAAUAGAGAUUUGAUCAAAUCUCUAAGGUAGAUGAUCAAUUCACGGGUGAUGUUAAAAUAACAACUAUGUGAGGUUAUUUCCCUACAGAAAGUAAGUGAUUUGAUCAAAUCCCUUAACUGUUUUAGUGUAAAGAUGAAAUAAUAUUGUUUAGAUAUUGAAAGUAUUUAUUUAGUAAAUCAUGCGUUAUUAAAAGUAGAAUAGGUAAUACAACAAUACUCAUAGAAACAUAAAUCAUUCAUUCGAGACUAAUUAGCAAAAGAAACAGGUACCUAAGCUGAUAUUUUAAAAAACAAAAAGAAUACUUUUAGGGAAUGUAAUUAAUAAAUAAUUUAUGUUUCUACGACUAUUGUUGUAUUAUCUUCUCAACACUUAAUAACGCAUGAUUUACUAAAUUAAUACUUUUAAUAUCUAAAUAAUAUUAUUCCAUCUUUUCACUAAAACAGUCAAGGGAUUUGAUCAAAUCAUAUUAUUUCAUCUUUUCACUAAAACAGUUAAGGGAUUUGAUCAAAUCACUUACUUUCUUUAGGGAAAUGACCUCACAUAGUUGUUAUUUUAACAUCUCCCGUGAAUUGAUCAUCUACCUUAGGGAUUUGAUCAAAUCUCUAUUUUUAUCAUUUCUCUGCGACAUAUAUAAAUCACAAAACUAAACAAUUCAUUUUUACAUAUUAUUUCAUAUGGAUUAUUUUAGAUUAUAGAUAUUAAAAAUAUUAUAGAUAUAUUAUCAGUAACAUUAAAAUUUCUUGGAACAAGACUUUCUGUCAUGUGUCGUGCAUACUUUUGAGAAUUUAAAGAAUUAAAUCUGACCUCUCUUUUUCUAUAUUAUUGUAAUACAAUAAAUUAUGUGUUACAAAUAGUGAAUCUCCGUUCAUUUUCUCAUUUUCUCAUUAUUUAAAUUUGUUCCAACAAAACUUUCUGCCACGCGUUCUGCAUACUUCUGAACUUCAUUCUAAUACAAUAAAUUGUGCGUUACAAAUAGUGGACAUAUUUUUCCUAUUUCUCACUUCAUCUUUAACAUUUCAAGUUCUUGCAACCAUAACCGGUUUCGAGCACCAUGAACUCUACAAAAAGUACUACAUACAUAUGAUAUAAAAAUUAUUUAAAGUCAUUCACUAUGCAAAUUAUCUUUAUAAAAAGAAGUGAGAUCCCCAUAAAAAACUUCAAAAAAGUAAAAAAAUUAUGCCAAGUACAUGAAAAAGUGGAGGACUCAAGGAGUUAUCAUAGAAAAAUAAAAGAUCCCCAUAAAAAACUACAAGAAAGUAGAAAAAGAUGUAAAAUCGAAAUGAGCUGCCAGUACAUGAAAGUCCUUUCCAAAAUCACAAAAAAAUAGAAGAUCUCCAUUAAUUAAAAACUACAAGAAAGUAGAAAAAGAUGUGAAAUUGAAAUGAGCUGCCAGUACAUGAAAGUCCUUUCCAAAAUCACAAAAAAAUAGAAGAUCCCCAUUAAUUAAAAACUACAAGAAAGUAGAAAAAAGAUGUGAAAUCGAAAUGAGCUACCAGUACAUCAAGAUGCUUUCCUACAAAGUGCAAAGGCGACACUGUAUAACACAAUGUAAAAUUCAAUGGUUUCCAAUUAUGCGCAGCUAAAAUGCUGUGUUCAACAGUACGGACGUUCAGAUCCUAAUGACAAUUCAUGUAAAGUGACUGCUCCGCACUUUGGCGGUAAAAUGAAGAAGCUAAAUAGUGUAUCAUCCACAAACUGAGGCUGUUUAAAAAUUUGCCUAGAUGUCCGCGGCCUGGAAGUCAAAUGCUUGGCGUGGCCAGGCAAGGUCGUGUUGAUGAAUAAGGAUUAUUUUAAAACGUAAAAUAAUGAAAGUGUACUUAUAUUGUCAGAGUUUUAAACUGACAAAUUAUCUGAAAACUUGUGAGAGGAAAGGUAUUGGUGUCGAUGAAUGACUGGCUUGCCGUUCCUACCGUAGUCUCUUCGUAUCGGUUUCAAGAGGCACGGUCUAACCCGUAGCAUUUUAAGUGGGGUCGAGAGUCGAGACCCCCUACUGUGCUUCCUGGUCUCGCAGAUUUUCUUGUACCGAAAAUCAGUAAACUUUUACGCGUAAUAUCUUAAAAACUAUUUGUAAAAGGGUGUUUACAUUAAGCUUGCUGAAUUCGUCUUGAAACAUACUAUCUAUUGAUCAAACAAAAAGUAUAUAAUCCCAUUUGAAAAAUCAAACGUAACUUUCAUAUAUCUGUAAACAGUAAUGAUAAAAAAAAAUUGUUACGGCCAAUAAAUCGGCCCCCUCUUGCCAUUCAAUUUCAUAUCAGAAACUUUUUUCGUAUCUUUAAUAGGUUACGAAAUAAUCGGCUGUCCAGGAUUUCGUGGGACAUACUGUAGAAUUAGUCUAAUUAGCCUAAGAAGAGUAGUCAUAAGCUGUACAUAAAACCAGGACGAUCCCGCAAGGGGAAUAAACUCACACAGUUGAGAUAACCACGAGUUAAAGUUAUUUCUAGUCCUCUAACAACCCAACGAUGUCAAAUUCAGUAUCCCUGGGCACCACCGACUGGAUCGGUACGUCAACCGCUCCACGGUAUAACGACAUCACAACAUGAUACAACAUUAAAUGAACUAAAAAAAAGUUUCAGAUUGUAUUCUGCGAAUUCAAACAAGACAUUAUAACAUCGUAACAGUUAUUGAUCUGUGUUCCUAGGAUCUGUGAUCCUAGAUAUAUACUGAAAAAUUAAAUUAAUUUGACUUUAAAUGUUUUUUUGUUUUUCCAUGGCAAAUAAUAAAAUAAGUAAAGCAUGAAAAUAUUUAACAAAAAAAAAUAAUUAACAGAUUCCACGCUCGUCGUAAGAAUCAAGAGAUUGAAAAUCAACCUCAGUAAAAAGCUUUUCUCCAUUAGCACCACCGUAUUCCAGUAUCUCAUAUCCAUUCAUUUGUCCCUGUCUCUAUCCAUGCUUCAUUGUAUGUCAUAUACGUUACAUUUUCCCGUUGGCAUCCACCUUGUUUCGAAAAUAAAAUGAUUUUCAAUCAUAAAAAACGUAACAUUUAGGAAACGAACACAGAACAGCGCAACCAUAGACCGACGCCUUAAUCGAUCGACCAUAUCGUUCACUUGAGAAAUACGAUAUAGUCACGGGCAUUCAUGCUACACUACGUACACAUAAAAUCAUUAAUAACUCGAAAAAUAUUAAUUUGGGAUCCCUAAACAUAUACAUAAAAAUUAAUUGUUUCUUGAAGAUCUGUCGAUACUCCCUGAUCCAAAAUGGAGCCAACGCUGUGACCUUUGAUCUCGAUAUUUUCGCAAACGAGUGCCUAUCUAAAAAAAAACCCGGAACAUGGCUCAAAUAGUUUUCAAUAAAAAAGGUCUGUACCAAAGGACAUAAAAAUCGGUGAGCUACACU
Molecule: long non-coding RNA, 4199 nt
Organism: Hylaeus volcanicus
Lineage: Eukaryota; Metazoa; Arthropoda; Insecta; Hymenoptera; Colletidae
Exons: 3
Source: RefSeq, a predicted model, not a curated record